Non-coding RNA from Paramisgurnus dabryanus, 3114 nucleotides. Lineage: Eukaryota; Metazoa; Chordata; Actinopteri; Cypriniformes; Cobitidae. The record is from RefSeq and is a predicted model, not a curated record.
AUUACGGAUGUGCGUCUUUACGUCAAGGUCGUGAUUCUACAUAACAACAUCCGCUUGACCUCGCAAUGCCAUGAAGAAGAAAGGCGUGGAACAUUUGCUUAAGAUCUUCAGCAGAUGUUUGAGAAAAAAAAUCAUCAUCCUCUUCGUCACUCUUCAUCCGUAUUUGGGGUAACAAACACCUGCUUCCCACAAGAGACUGGACCUCUGAAGUCAGAUAAUUUUACUGGUACAAUGUUGGAUGGAUCAUCAGACCUGCACCUUCCUUGAACAUGUUGGUAACUUACUCUGUAUUUGUUCACGGUGGUCACCCCAGGGUUUCAGGACUCAAAACGAGUGCUCUAUGGAUUGAACAGAAAAUGUGGAUCAACACUCCAACCAUCUGCAUUAGGGACUGAAUAAAGGAUGCCCUCUGUAGCUGGGAAUGUUAGAUCAGGCGGAUCAACAUUCCAUCCAUCUGCAUUAGGAUCUACCUUAGAGACACUCACUGGAGCUGUAAAUGGGAAGCAGGUCACUUACUUUGCAUUCGUCCUUGGUGGUCACCCAAGGGUCUCUAGAGUGAAAAUUACUCAAUCUAUGGAUUAAACAGAAAAUUUAGUUGUAUGAAGUGGUAUGUUGUCUUUAAAUGCCAUUAAAAAUGUGUUUCUGUUUUCUGUCUCAUAUUAAGAAAUACUCUUUAACCUGCCCACUGGAGCUGGGAAUGCAAUUUGGGACAUUCUUCCAGUUGUCGGCAACUUUGUGAAAAAGGCUGGAAACUUAAAUGCAGUUUAACUGAUUCUGCUUACCUGACUCAUGCAGAAUUCUGGCCUGGUGUUUCUGUGCUGUCUUUGGCUCUUGCAUCUCCAUCAUCCUGACCCUCUUUAGCAGCCUGUCCAUGUAUUUAUUUGGAGGCCACCAUGAGCACCCAUCUGCAUAAUAUGACUUUGUUACUCAGAUGUCCAUGCGCUCCUACAAAUUCUACAUUUUUUGUAAAGCUGCAACAAGUUGAAACCCUAUAAUUAUUAACGUUUGAUUUUGAACUAUGUAAUUCAAAUACAUGAAUAAGUAACAAAAGCAGAAAUUUAUUAAGAUAUUACCUUUUUGUUGCUUGUUUACUGAUCUAUCAAUCCUUUUGCAUUUUCAUAAUUGUUCAUCAUAACUUGGUAUACAGUGGAUGUGUGGCUGCAGAUAACUUUCUGAAGUCAAUUUAAAAAGACAAAAGUUAAUAAAUGCUGAAUUGGUCAAAUAUACAUUGUUGUAUUUUCACCAUUUUGAUGUUUAGGCAUUUCAUAACUUGAGGGUUAAUUCACGUAUAGUGAUGUUUCAAAUCAAAGAUUAAUUUAUUAAUGACAGCUAAUCAUUUUAUAAAGAUUUUUAUUACAAUAUUUAUUUAAUAUCAAUUUAAUACAUUUAAUUCGUUACACCUACAUUACUGAGCGCAAGGGAGUGCAGCCAACAAAUACAUUCAGGUGUGUUCGACUUAACACCGAGAUGCGCAGACAGCACGUGGUAUGACAUCAAAGUACCGCGAGAGUUUGGGAAAGCCCCGGAAAAGGUUUGAUCUCGCGGUACUUGAUGUCACGAUCGGUUUGCGUGUAGAUCAGCAUGAAGUAGAACACAUCUGAAAGAUGUGUGGGCUGCCUGCACUCAACGUUGCGAUAAUUCAGUAGAGUGUAACCUCAAUCGGUUUUUGCAGCUUCUGGGUGUCGUGUCGAACGAUCGCAGAACGAUUUUUUGUUCUUUUCCAACUCGAUUUUUAACUCCCUAGACUAGUAGGAUGUUCCAACGGGUGAAGCAACAGUGCUGACGGCAGAGUUUCAGUGUCAAUUUUUCAUGCCAUGAUCACUGGGGCGGAAACCAUUAUGACGUUGCCUUGGACAUCAAACUAAACCAUCUCAUUCUGGCUUUUUUCUAACAUCGAAAUCUCAGAAGGCCAGGACUAAGAUGGACGCAGCCUCCACAUGCAACCUUGCAUUUGAGGAACACCCAUAGAACGGUCAACUUACCCCAUACUCUAACCUGAAUGCAGGGAUCAUAAAACUUUAUCUUUUACCUUAAUUGUUAGAUGGGUGUUGAUACCAAACUUUUUUGUCUCGUCUACCCAGGAGAAAGUCAUGGGUUCUGCUGCUGAGGUUGUCAUAAAGCAUGCUUUUUCCAUUUGUUGCAUUGGGCAAUAUUAUCAAAAGAUUCUGAAAGAAAUAAGAUAAUUUUCAAAGCAUUAACAUGAAUAUGAAAGCAUUAAGUCAUUAAUGAUCAUCUUUUAUUAUUGUUUAUUUAUAGUGUCUUUUAUUCUGCUUACCUGACUCAUGCAGAAUUCUGGCUUGAUGUUUGGUCCACCUGUUAGCUGGCUCUGGUGCUUGGUAGUCUUCUCAAACCUCUGAAUCAAGGCCACCAUGAGAGGCCUUCUGAAGACCAUCAUUACGCUUCAGAUCCAGUUGUCUUAACUAUGAGCCUACCACAAUCCCUGUGCACCAGCUAUGGAAAGUGCAGACCAAACUUCUACCUCCACCUAUAGAACUGAACUGGAGUCUGUGAACUAAUGCUGUGUUCGAGACAACUGGAACAGCAAACAAAGUUGAGUAUCCGACCUCUCAACUUGUGACUGAUCGAUCAGCACCAACCUCAACGAGAUGCAUCAUUUGACAUUGCAGACAAAUCCUUUCUCUUUUUAAUGCAGCACUUAAGGAUGAACCACCCUGAUCUACUAAGAUGCACAGAUUCAACUCUGGCCCAGCAUCAUCCCCACACCUCAUCUGCCAUCAGUUUAAUUUAAUGUCUGUCAAUUGCAAAUGCUAUUUAUUUCAGUUAUAUUACAACUUAAUGUUAACUUUAAUUGAGACUAGUAUUGUGUAAAGCUGGGGUUUCCAAACUUUUCAUUUCAAAACCUAUUAGACAAGUGUAAUCUAUUCUAGACCCACUAAAAUAUUUUUACAUAUACAUUUUUUUAAUGGGGUAAAACACAUUUGUUCUCUUUCAGUGGAGUCAUUUUAUUUUCAUAAUAUUUCAUAAUGUAAAGCAGUGGUUCUUAACGUUAUUCCUCGAGGCCCACUGCUCUGCACAUUUUGUAUGUCUCUUUUAUCUGACAGACUCAGUUCAGUUCAUUGAGAUCUCUUCUAAUGAGCUGAUGAUUUGAAUCAG